This 462-nucleotide ribosomal RNA is filed under the name uncultured bacterium. RNAcentral's name for it is "bacterial SSU rRNA". It matches the Rfam family "Bacterial small subunit ribosomal RNA", at positions 28 to 507 of the family's 1533-position model. The record is from RNAcentral.
GAUGAACGUUGGCGGCGUGCCUAAUACAUGCAAGUCGAACGAAGACUGUAGUAAUACUGUCUUAGUGGCGAACGGGUGAGUAACGCGUGGGUGACCUGCCCCGAAGUGUGGGAUAACAGUCCGAAAGGAUUGCUAAUACUGCAUAAUAUCCAAGAGAUUAGAUGCUUUUGGAUUAAAGGAGUAAUUCGCUUUGGGAGGGGCCCGCGUCCCAUCAGCUAGUUGGUAAGGUAAUGGCUUACCAAGGCGAUGACGGGUAGGGGACCUGAGAGGGUGGCCCCCCACAAUGGAACUGAAACACGGUCCAUACACCUACGGGUGGCAGCAGUAGGGAAUAUUAGUAAUGGGCGAAAGCCUGAACUAGCAACGCCGCGUGUGCGAAGAAGGCCUUCGGGUCGUAAAGCACUUUUUGUAGAGGAUGAGGAAGGACGGUACGUCUCAGAAUAAGUCUCGGCUAACUACGUG